This 484-nucleotide ribosomal RNA is filed under the name uncultured bacterium. RNAcentral's name for it is "partial 16S ribosomal RNA". It matches the Rfam family "Bacterial small subunit ribosomal RNA", at positions 29 to 507 of the family's 1533-position model. The record is from RNAcentral.
AUUGAACGCUGGCGGCAUGCUUUACACAUGCAAGUCGAACGGCAGCGCGGGCUUCGGCCUGGCGGCGAGUGGCGAACGGGUGAGUAAUACAUCGGAACGUGCCCAGUAGUGGGGGAUAGCUCGGCGAAAGCCGGAUUAAUACCGCAUACGACCUGAGGGUGAAAGCGGGGGAUCUUCGGACCUCGCGCUAUUGGAGCGGCCGAUGGCAGAUUAGCUAGUUGGUGGGGUAAAGGCCUACCAAGGCGACGGUCUGUAGCUGGUCUGAGAGGACGACCAGCCACACUAGGACUGAGACACGGCCCAGACGCCUACGGGGGGGAGCAGUGGGGAAUUUUGGACAAUAGGCGAAAGCCUGAUCCAGCAAUGCCGCGUGUGUGAUGAAGGCCUUCGGGUUGUAAAGCACUUUUGGCGGGAACGAAAAGGACUGUGCCAAUACCACGGUGCGAUGACGGUACCCGCAGAAUAAGCACCGGCUAACUACGUG